RNAcentral lists this ribosomal RNA (383 nucleotides) under uncultured eukaryote. Its description in RNAcentral is "partial 18S ribosomal RNA". It matches the Rfam family "Eukaryotic small subunit ribosomal RNA", at positions 592 to 976 of the family's 1831-position model. The record is from RNAcentral.
CAAUAGCGUAUAUUAAAGUUGUUGCAGUUAAAAAGCUCGUAGUUGGAUUUCUGGUGGGAGCGAUCGGUCUGGCGCUUAGCGCGAGUACUUGCAUCGUCUCCGGCCAUCCUUGGGGAGAGUCUGUCUGGCAUUAAGUUGUCGGGCAGAGGAUCCUCAUCGUUUACUGUGAAAAAAUUAGAGUGUUCAAAGCAGGCUUAUGCCGUUGAAUAUAUUAGCAUGGAAUAAUAAGAUAGGACUUUGGUACUAUUUUGUUGGUUUGCGCACCAAAGUAAUGAUUAAUAGGGACAGUUGGGGGUAUUCGUAUUCAGUUGUCAGAGGUGAAAUUCUUGGAUUUACGGAAGACGAACUACUGCGAAAGCAUUUACCAAGGAUGUUUUCAUUAA